CAGUCACAGGUCCAUAUGCAUGCCUCAUCACACCAGUAAAUUCGUUCAGCCAUGAGGGUUCAACUUGGUGCAUCUCCACAUCUUGACCUUUCUCAGCAUGUGAGUUUGUAGGAAAGCAGAAAUCCUCAUCCAUGGCAUGGGGAAAGAGGUCCUUCCGGCGCUUACUGCAGACAGGAGAGAGGUCCAUCACCUCGCCAUUGGAAUGACUUGAUUGGGAGGACAAAUUCAAACUUGAGCCAUUAGGUAACUUUUUCGGAUGGGGAUGUGAAGUGCUCUUCAUCGAAGGAGGCCUCUCAAGCUCAAAUUCGGUGCUUGGUAGAUUCCUC
This 326-nucleotide long non-coding RNA is filed under the name Musa acuminata (dwarf banana). Its description in RNAcentral is "long non-coding RNA (MACU_LNC000905)". Lineage: Eukaryota; Viridiplantae; Streptophyta; Magnoliopsida; Zingiberales; Musaceae. The record is from RNAcentral.